UGGCUCAGAACAAACGCUGGCGGCGUGCAUGAACACAUGCAAGUCUAACGGGAAAGUCGGCUUCGGCUGGCUAGUACCGUGGCGAACGGGGUGAGUAACACGUGGGUAAUCUAACCUUGAGCUCGGGAUAACCUUGCGAAAGCGAGGCUAAUACCGGAUAAGACCACGCUCAGCUCGCUGAGUGCGGUAAAAGGUGGCCUCUUCCUGAAAGCUAUCACUUGAGGAUGAGCCCGCGGCCUAUUAGCUAGUUGGUAGGGUAACGGCCUACCAAGGCGACGAUGGGUAGCCGGCCUGAGAGGGUGUACGGCCACACUGGCACUGAGAUACGGGCCAGACUCCUACGGGAGGCAGCAGUGGGAAUUUUGCGCAAUGGGGGAAACCCUGACGCAGCAACGCCGCGUGAGUGAUGAAGGCCUUCGGGUCGUAAAGCUCUUUUAGUGGGGAAGAAUCCCUUCCGGGCUAAUAUCCUGGGAGGAUGACGGUACCCACAGAAAAAGUUCCGGCUAACUACGUGCCAGCAGCCGCGGUAA
Molecule: ribosomal RNA, 530 nt
Filed under: uncultured delta proteobacterium
Lineage: Bacteria; Deltaproteobacteria
Description: bacterial SSU rRNA
Rfam family: Bacterial small subunit ribosomal RNA
Source: RNAcentral